This 301-nucleotide ribosomal RNA is filed under the name uncultured bacterium. RNAcentral describes it as "partial 16S ribosomal RNA". It matches the Rfam family "Bacterial small subunit ribosomal RNA", at positions 509 to 807 of the family's 1533-position model. The record is from RNAcentral.
CAGUCGCCGCGGUAAUACAGAGGGUGCGAGCGUUAAUCGGAUUUACUGGGCGUAAAGCGUGCGUAGGCGGCUUCUUAAGUCGGAUGUGAAAUCCCUGAGCUUAACUUAGGAAUUGCAUUCGAUACUGGGAAGCUAGAGUAUGGGAGAGGAUGGUAGAAUUCCAGGUGUAGCGGUGAAAUGCGUAGAGAUCUGGAGGAAUACCGAUGGCGAAGGCAGCCAUCUGGCCUAACACUGACGCUGAGGUACGAAAGCAUGGGGAGCAAACAGGAUUAGAUACCCGCGUAGUCCCUGUCUCUUAUAC